CGAUUCAUAAUCUUGACGAACUUACGUAAUCCUUAAGCUGGAGACUGACUUGUACCAUUUGUUUGUAAUGUACCAUUCGAGGCGAUCUUGUUACAAUACGGCGACUCACAAUGACUUGUAACAUGUGUUUUUAAUGUAUCAUACGUGCUCUUGGCUCAAGUGUGCUCUAUUUUUACUCGAAAUAACGUGAUGACGCGACCUGCACUGACUUGUAAUGUAUCACUCAAAGGGAAUUCGCG
Molecule: long non-coding RNA, 239 nt
Organism: Maniola jurtina (meadow brown)
Lineage: Eukaryota; Metazoa; Arthropoda; Insecta; Lepidoptera; Nymphalidae
Exons: 3
Source: RefSeq, a predicted model, not a curated record